AGUGAACGCUGGCGGUAGGCCUAACACAUGCAAGUCGAACGGCAGCACAGGAGAGCUUGCUCCCUGGGUGGCGAGUGGCGGACGGGUGAGGAAUACAUCGGAAUCUACUUUUUCGUGGGGGAUAACGUAGGGAAACUUACGCUAAUACCGCAUACGACCUACGGGUGAAAGCAGGGGACCUUCCGGCCUUGCGCGAUUGAAUGAGCCGAUGUCGGAUUAGCUAGUUGGCGGGGUAAAGGCCCACCAAGGCGACGAUCCGUAGCUGGUCUGAGAGGAUGAUUAGCCACACUGGAACUGAGACACGGUCCAGACUCCUACGGGAGGCAGCAGUGGGGAAUAUUGGACAAUGGGCGCAAGCCUGAUCCAGCCAUACCGCGUGGGUGAAGAAGGCCUUCGGGUUGUAAAGCCCUUUUGUUGGGAAAGAAAUCCAGCUGGCUAAUACCCGGUUGGGAUGACGGUACCCAAAGAAUAAGCACCGGCUAACUUCGUGCCAGCCGCCGCGGUAA
RNAcentral lists this ribosomal RNA (506 nucleotides) under uncultured bacterium. Its description in RNAcentral is "partial 16S ribosomal RNA". It matches the Rfam family "Bacterial small subunit ribosomal RNA", at positions 29 to 523 of the family's 1533-position model. The record is from RNAcentral.